CCUGAUGACCAAAUCACCCUUAAUGUGCACCCAAUCUUGUCAGACCACAGAAGCUAAAGCAGGCUUCGAUCCUCUUUGUACUUGGAUGGGAGACUGCCUGGAAAUACCUGGGUGUUUUUGGUU
This 123-nucleotide ribosomal RNA is filed under the name Petromyzon marinus (sea lamprey). The record is from RNAcentral. Lineage: Eukaryota; Metazoa; Chordata; Hyperoartia; Petromyzontiformes; Petromyzontidae.